Episyrphus balteatus (marmalade hoverfly) is the source of this 682-nucleotide long non-coding RNA. RefSeq lists it as uncharacterized. Lineage: Eukaryota; Metazoa; Arthropoda; Insecta; Diptera; Syrphidae. The transcript is spliced from 2 exons. The record is from RefSeq and is a predicted model, not a curated record.
GAAUAUUCACAUUCAACAAAUUGAUUUAAUUAAUCGACAAAAAAUAUCAAUCAUAAUUUAACUAGUACGUUUAAGUACAUUACACAUACCGUUUCGAUCGUAAGCAAGUCAACAUUUCUUCAUUAGCAUCGUUUAGAGGACAGUUGAGUCCAUGUGCCAUUUGCAUGGUCAAUUGUAGUGAAUUGUUUGAAGCUGCCCAAUCGGCCAUUGCUGAACCAGACAUCAAAAUUGCUCGAUGGAAGAGCCCUAUAUGGUGAAAAGGAUAAUGGUCAAUAUAAAUGGUAAUUGGAUAGUAACUUUCCACUCAUGUUCCAGCGCCAGCAAAAUACAUACCGGAUGCAACAGGCGAUACCAUCAGUGUAAUGCUGCAAUUUGGUCUAAUAGGCCAAAAUUACUUACGGUAUCGUCACUAAUGCCAGGUUUCAUGAACCCUUAAGUGAACGAAAAAUAAAUGGUGCGGUAAAUUGGAUUGUCAAUAAAUAAUUAUUAGAUUUUAAAAUAAAUAAAAGCCAUGCAUUAUUAAAUUUUUGGAUGCAUAAUUUUGGAAAAUAGAAUAUAACAAGGUCCUGGUUUUAGUAGAUACACAUAUAAGCAGACAUAUAAGUCAUGAAAUGAUUACAGAGAAAGCAGUUUGAUCUUUGAAAUUAGAGAAAGUCUACUACUUUUUUUCAGUUCAUUUAAA